RNAcentral lists this ribosomal RNA (332 nucleotides) under uncultured Spirochaetota bacterium. Its description in RNAcentral is "bacterial SSU rRNA". It matches the Rfam family "Bacterial small subunit ribosomal RNA", at positions 28 to 351 of the family's 1533-position model. Lineage: Bacteria; Pseudomonadati; Spirochaetota. The record is from RNAcentral.
GACGAACGCUGGCGGCGCGUCUAAGACAUGCAAGUCGAACGAUUAAAGCCCCCUUCGGGGGUAUAUAAAGUGGCGAACGGGUGAGUAACACGUAGCUAACCUGCCCUUCAGACCGGGACAACGGUGCGAAAGCGCCGCUAAUACCGGAUACGCCGUUUGGUCUUCCCGGCUGAACGUGAAAGUGGGUUUCGGCCCACACUGAAGGAGGGGGCUGCGGCCUUUUAGCUAGUUGGUGAGGUAACGGCCCACCAAGGCUACAAUGGGUAGCUGAUCUGAGAGGAUGGUCAGCCACACUGGGACUGAGACACGGCCCAGACUCCUACGGGAGGCUG